Molecule: long non-coding RNA, 9241 nt
Organism: Peromyscus leucopus (white-footed mouse)
Lineage: Eukaryota; Metazoa; Chordata; Mammalia; Rodentia; Cricetidae
Exons: 3
Source: RefSeq, a predicted model, not a curated record
UGUCUGUCUCUUUUAUUCUUGUUGCUUCCACUUUCUGUGAUGUUCCAUGAGAUUGGAAGGUGUGGGAAGUGACAUUAUUGUGCAUUUGGGAUUUUGCUUUUACUGACAUUUAUUCUCUGCUCAUUGGCAAAUUGUUGCUCUUUGUAGUGAUUGUUGCCCACUUCAAAAAGGGUUUAUGUGACCAUGCUAGAGAGCAAUCUAUGGGUAUAAACAGAAAUAUUUAGAAGGCAAAUUUACAGCAUCACUUUUGAGCAAAAUUCCAAUAUCAGGUUCUAUCCUAUGACCUUGAACUCCCUAGCCAUGAGCCUUUGACUACUGUUGCAGUACCAAGCAGGAAGUCCCCUUAUGUUGGGCAGGUCUCAAAUGCACCAAGAGAGCAGCUGGUUACCUCAUAAUAGUGCUGCAGCCGUAGCAACAGUGGGCAAAUCUUGUCUGGCAAGUCAGUGUUAGAGCACACAGUUUCCAGCACUGGGUCUCAAAUGCACCAAGAAAACAGCUGGUUACCUCAUAAUAGUGAUGCAGCCGUAGCAACAGUGGGCAAAUCUUGUCUGGCAAGUCAGUGUUAGAGCACACAAUUUCCAGCACUGGGGGGAUACAUUAUAAUUUAGAGAAAUUAUUCCGGAUUUAAUUGAAUCCUGCGGCCUCUGUUAACCAUAUGGAUGUCCAUGAUUGGCAGUACAAUGCUAUUCCUAUUCCUUCUGGAAGCAAUGUUGAUGCUCAUGAUCUUCUUACAACUGGACACCAUGUUGACUUCCAUGAUCUCUCCUGAAAGUAGUGACCAUGGUAAGGUAAGUGUUCCUUGUUUGCUAAUGUGUAGAAUGUUAUUUUACAAGAUGUAACCAACCAUUGGUAACUUAAGUUGAUAUGCAUAACUCAUGCUGCCAAUGGUCCCCAUGCUGAUGUCAUUGAUCCCUGUUGCCUCUGUUAACCCUGCUGAUGUCUAUGAAAGCAACUCCUAUGCAUUUCUGUUGGUUCUGUAAGCCAUGUUGGUACAUGUGGUACUUGUUACCAAUGGAUAACAUUUUGAUUGCCAUGAUUUCUCUGGCCCCUUAUGACCAUAUUAAUGAAAGUGCUCUGUGCUGCCAACAUAAAGAAUGUAAAAAGAAUGUAAAUUUCUAAGAACUGAAAUACCACCUGAAACUAAGUUGAUAUCCGGAAUACUUGCAGUCACCUCCAAACAAAUUGUAUUCAUCUAUCCCUGCUGCAUCUUUUAAACAUGUGGAUGUCCAUGAGCAGACAUACCAUGCUAUUCCUACUAUUUUGGAAGUCAUGUUGAGUAGCAUUCUGUCUUGCCCAUGGAUCUGAUGUUGAUGUAUAUCACUGCCCUAUCACCUGAGACCAUGUAGCUGCUACAAGAGUUCUGUGUUGCCAACACGAAGGAUGUUAAUUUUUUGAUAACAACUACCAGCAAAACCAUGUUGCUAUCAAUUAUACAUGAUGGUGCCUGAAACCAUGUGGAUUUAAUUGAUCUCUGCUAACUGUUAACCAUAUGGAUGUUCAUGAUUGGUACUAUAAUACUAUUCAUACUACUUUUGGAAGCAAUGUUUAUGCUCAUGAUCUUUUAAACCACCGGAUAACAUGUUGAUUGUCAUGAUCUCUCCUGCUACAAGUGAUCAUGUUAAUGUAAGUGUUCCUUGUUGCCAAUGAAUAGAAUGGCAAUUUCCAAGAUUUAACCAACUUUUGUAAACUAAAUUGAUAUGCAUAAUUCAUGCUGACAUGUGCAGCCAUGCUGAUGUAAUUGAUCACUGCUGCCUCUCUUAAUCCUAUUGAUGUCUGUGAAUGGACACAAAUGGAACACUUUUGAUUCUGUAAGCCAUGACAAUGCAUGUGGUUUUGGUUCCAUGGGAUAGUAUCUUGAUGGCCAUGACCUCUCCAUGCCCUGAGGACCAUGUGAAGGUAAGCAUUGUAUGUUUCCAGCAUGAAGAAUAUAAAUUUUCAAGAACUGAAAUACUAACUAAACUAGGUUGAAAUCCAGAAUGCAUGCUGCCAACAACAGAAUUGAUGCCACUACCCUGCUGUGUCUGUGAAACAUGUGGAUAUCCAUGAGCAGACAUACAAUGCAAUUCCUACUAUUUCUGAAAGCCAGGUUGAUACCAGGGUUCUUCCUUGCCCAUGGAUCUGAUGUGGAGUUCUAUCCGUCAUGCUACCUGAGACCAUGUUGAUACAAGAUUUCUGUCUUUCCAACUUGAAGAAUGUUAUUUGCCCUGAUCACAAUACCAAAGUAAACUAUGUGGCUAUCCUUUCUACAUGCUGCCACCUGAAUCCUUGAGGAUUUAAUUGAUCUCUACUGCUUCAAUUACCCAUAUGGAUGGCCAUAUUGGAACUACAAUGCUAUUCAUAACACUUUUCUUAGCAGUGUUGAUGCUCAUGAUUUUUUAAACCACAAGACAUCAUGUAGAUUUCUGUGACAUCUCCUGUUACAAGUGAUGAUGUUAAUGUAAGUGUUCCUUUUGGCAGUGUGUAGAAUGUUAAUUUCGAAUAUUUAACAAGCAUUGGUAACUACACAGAUAUCUGUAAUUCAUACUGCCAUCUCCAACCAUGCUGAUGUCAUUGAUCCCUGUUGCCACUCUUAACCCUGUUGAUGUCUAUGAAUUCACAAGCAAUGAAUUCCUGUUGUUUCUGUAAGCCAUUUUAAUACAUGUGGUCCUUGUUACCAUGGGAUAACAUCUUGAUUGCCAUGACCUCUCUGGGCCCUUGUGACCAUAUUGAUGGAAGUGUGCUGUGUUGCCAACAUAAAGAAUGUAAAUUUCCAAGAAAUGAAACUAAGUUGAUAUCUGGAAUAUUUGCAGUCACCUCCAAAUAAAUUGAAUUCAUUCAUCCCUGCUGCAUCUUUUAAACAUGGAUGUCUAUGAGCAGACAUACCAUGCUAUUCCUACUACUUCUGGAAGCAUGUUGAUGCCGGGGUUCUUUCUUGCCCAUGGAUCUGAUGGUGAUAUCUAUCUGUCCUGCUACCUGAGACUAUGUUCUUUCUUUCCAACAUGAAGAAUGUUAAUUUCCCUGAUCUGAAAUACCAUAGUAAACUAUGUGGCUAUCCAUUUGACAUGCUGCCAACUAAAAACCUGUGGAUGUAAUACAUCCCUGCUUAUGUUACCCAUAUGAAUGUCCAUGAUUGGGAGCAUAAUGAUAAUAGUACUAUUUCUGGAAGCAGUGUUGAUGCUACUUAUCUUCUUACCACUGGGCAACAUGUCGAAUUCAAUGAUCAGUCACUACUUUAAGGUAAGUGUUUGUUGUUGCCAAUGUAUAGAAUGGUAAUUUCCAAGAUUUAAUUAACUUUUGGUAACUAAGUUGAUACACAGAAUUCAUGCUGCAACCUGCAGCCAUGCUGAUGUCAUUGAUCACUACUGCCUUUGCAAACCCUAUUGAUACUAAUGAAUGAAGCUCCCAUGCAUUCCUAUUGGUUCUGUAAGCCAUGUUGAUGCAUGUAGUCCUUGUUACCAUGGUAUAACACCUUGAUGGCUCUGAGUUCUUCAUCCCAUUAUCACCUUAAUUAUAUAAGUGUUCUGUGUUGCCAAUUUAAAGAAUGUAAUUUCCAAGAAUUGAAAUACUAUCAGAAAUUGGGUUAAUACCCUGAAUACAUUCUGCUACCUCCAAACAAGUUGAGGUCUUUAAUCUCAGCUGAGUCUCAUAAACAUGUGCAUAUCCAUGGCUGGAAGGGCAAUGCUAUUCCUACUCCUUCUGGAAGCAAGGUUCAUGCUCAUGAUCUUCUUACCACUGGACACCAUGGUGACUUACAUGAUCUCUCCUGCUACAAGUGACAAUAUUAAGGUAAGUGUUCCUUUUUUGGCAUUAUAUAUAGAAAAGUAAUUUCCAAGAUUUAAUGAACCUUUGGUAACGUGGCUGAUAUCUGUCAUUCAUGCUGCCACCUGCACCCAUGCUGAUGUCAUUGACCACUGCUGCCUCUGUUAAACUUGUUGAUUUCUAUGAAAGGGCCUGACAGGAAUUCCUAUUGUUUCUGUAAGCCAUGUUGAUUCAUAUGGUCCUUGUUACCAUGGGAUAACAUCUUGAUUGCCAUGACCUCUAUGGCCACGUAUGACCAUACUAAUGUAAGUAUUCUGUGUUGCCAACAUAAAGAAUGUAAAUUUACAAGAACAAUAAUACAAACUGAAACUAAGUUCAUAUCUGGAAUACUUGCUGUCACCUCCAAACAAAUUGAAUACAUUCAUCACUGCUGAAUCUGUAAAACAUGCAGAUGUCCAUGAACAGGCAUACCAUGUUAUUCCUACUAUUUCUGGAAGCCACAUAAUGCCAGGGUUCAUUCUUGCUCAUGGAUCUAAUGUUGAUGUCUACCUGUCCAGCUACCUGAGUCCAUGUUGAUGCAAGAGUUCUAUAUUUCCAUCAUGAAGAUUGUUAAUUUCAUGAUGUCAACUACCAUAGUAUACUAUGUUUCUAUCCAUUCUACGUUCUGCCAGCUGAUAACUUGUGGAUUUAAUUGAUCUCUGCUUGUUCUGUUACCCAUAUGGAUAUCCAUGAUUGAAACCAUAAUACUUUUCGUACUACUUCUGGUAGCAGUGUUGAUGCUUAUGGACUUGUAAACCACUGGACACCAUGUUGAUUUUCAUGAUAUCUGUUGCUACAGGGGAUGAUGUUAAUGUAAGUGAUCCUUGUUGACCAUGUAUAGAAUGGUAAUUUCCAAGAUUUAACCAACUUUUGGUAACUAAGUUGAUAUACAUUAUUCAUGCUGCCACCUGCAGCCAUACUGAGGUCAUUGAUCACUGAUACCUAUGCAAACCAUUCUGAUAUUAAUGAAUGGAGCUCCCCUGCAUUCCUAUUGUUUCUGUAAGCCAUGUUGAUGCAGGUGGUCAUUUAUAUCAUGGGUUAACAUCUUGUUUGCCAUAAAUUCUCCAGCCCCUUAUGGCUAUGUUAAGCCCCCUUUUGGCAAUAUGUAGAAUGAUAAUUUCCAAGAAUUAGCAAGCAUGGGUCACUAAGCAGAUAUCCAUAAUUCAUGCUGCAACCUCCAACCAUGUCCUUGACAGCCAUUGCCAAGGUUAAGCCUGUUGAUGUCUAUGAAUGCCCCUCCAAUGCAUUCCUCUUGUUUCUGUAAGCCAUGUUGAUACAUGAGGUCCUUGUUACCAUGAGAUAACAUUUUGAUUGCCAUGUCCUCCUUGGCCUCUUAUGACCAUAUUGAUGGAAGUGUUCUGUGUUGCCAACAUAAAGAAUGUGAAAUUUCAAGAAUUGAAAUACCAAACAAAACCAAGUUGAUAUCUGCAAUAUUUGCUGUCACCACCAAACAAAUUGAAUUAAUUUAUCCCUGCUGCAUCUGUUAUAUAUGUGGAUGUCCAUGAGCGGACAUACAAUGCAAUUCCUACUGUUUCUGGAAACAAGGUUGAUGACAGCGUUCUUUCUUACACAUGGAACUUAUUUUGAUGUCUAUCUGUCCUCCUACCUGACACCAUGUUGGUACAAGAGUUCUGUCUUUCCAUCAUGAAGAAAAUUAAUUUCUCUGAUCUCAAAUACCAAAGUAAACUGUGUGGCUAUUCAUUCUACAUUCUGCCACCUGAAAUCCUGUAGGUAUAAUACAUCCCUACUGCUUCUGUGAACCAUGUGGAUGUCCAUGAUUGGUGGCACAAUGCCAUUCUUAUUACUUCUGGAAGCAAUGUUGAUGCUAAUUAUCUUCUACUACUUGGCACCAUGUUUUUUUUCUAUGAUUUCUCCUGCUACAAGUCACCACCUUAAGAUAAGUGUUUGUUGUUGCCAGUGUAUAGAAUGGUAAUUUCCAAGAUUUAAUUAACUUUUGGUAGCUAAGUUGAUACACAUAAUUCAUACUGCCACCUGCAGCCAACCUGAUGUCAUUGGUCACUGCUACCUUUGCAAACCAUGUUGAUAUUAGUGAAUAGAGCUCCCAUGCAUUCCUAUUCGUUCUGGAAGCCAUGUUGAUGACAUGUGGUCCUUGUUACCAUGGAUAACACCUUGAUGACUUUGAUAUUCUCCAUCCCCUUAUGACCUUAUUAAUGUAAGUAUUCUGUAUUGCCAAUAUGAAGAAUGUAAUUUUCAAGAAUUGAAAUACCAAUAGAAACUAAGAUAAUAACCGAAAGACAUGCUGCUACCUCCAAACAAGUUGAGGUCUUUAAAUCCAGCUGAGUCUUUUAAACAUAUGCAUGUCCAUGAUUGGAACUACAAUGCUAUUCCUACUCCUUCUGGAAGCAAUGUUGAUGCUCAUGAUCUUCUUACCACUGGACACCAUGGUGACUUACAUGAUCUUUCCUGCAACAAGUGACAAUAUUAAGGUAAGUGUUCCUUUUUGGCAAUAUAUAGAAUGGUAAUUCCCAAGAUUUAAUGAACCUUGUUAACUUAGCUAAUAUCUCUAAGUCAUGCUGCCACCUGCACCCAUGCUGAUGUCAUUGACUGCUGCUGCCUCUGUUAACCCUGUUGAUGUCUAUGAAAGGAAGCUGCCAUGCAUUCCUAUUGGUUCUGUAAGCCAUGAUGAUUCAUGUGGUCCUUGUUACCAUGAGAUGACAUCUUUAUUGCCAUGACCUCUCUGGCCCUUAUGACCAUAUUAAUGUAAAUGUUCUGUGUUGGCAACAAAAGAAUGUAAAUUUUCAAGAACAAAAAUACCAACUGAAACUAGUUGAUAUCCAGAAUACUUGCUGUCACCUCCAAACAAAUUGAAUUCAUUCAUCCUGCUGCAUCUGUUGAACAUGCAGAUGUCCAUGAGCAGAUAUAUCAUGCUAUUUCUACUAUUUCUGGGAGUCACAUUGAUGCCAGGGUUCUUCUUGCCCAUGGAUCUGAUGUUGAUGUCUAUCUGUCCUGCUUCUGAGACCAUGUUGAUGCAAGAGAUCUGUCUUUUCAACAAGAAGAAUGUUAAUUUCCCUGAUCUCUACUACCAUAGUAAACUAUGUGGCUAUCCAUUCAACAUUCUACCACCUGAAAACUUGUGGAUUUAAUGGAUUCCUGCUGCUUUUGUUACCAUAUGGAUGUCCAUGAUUGGAACUAUAAUUCUUUUCUUACUACUUCUGGUAGCAGUGUUGAUGCUCAUGGUCUUCUAAACCACUGGACAUCAUGUUGAUAUCCAUGAUCUCUGUUUCUACAGGUGAUUAUGUUAAUGUAGACUUUACUUGUUGCAAAUGUAUAGAAUGGUAAUUUCCAUAAUUUAACCAACUUUUGAUAACUGAGUUGGUACACAUAAUUCAUACUAGUACCUGCAGCCAUGCUGAUGUCAUUGAUCACUGAUGCCUUUGCAAACCCUGCUGAUAUUAAUGAAUGGAGCUCCCCUGCAUUUCUAUUGUUUCUGUAAGCCAUGUUGAUGCAGGUGUUCCUUUAUAUCAUGGGUUAACAUCAUGAUUGCCAUAAAUUCUCCAGCCCCUUAUGGCCAUAUUCAGGCAAGUGUUUCUUUUUGGCAAUGCGUAGAAUGGUAAUUUCCAAGAUUUAACAAGCAUUUGUAACUAAGCAGAUAUCCAUAAUUCAUCAUGACAUUACAAACAUGCUGAUGUCAUUGACAGCUGUUGCCACUGUUAACCCUGUUGAUGUCUAUGAAUGCACCUCCAAUGCAUUCCUGUUGUUUCUGUGAGCCAUGUUGAUGAAUGUGGUCCUUGUUACCAUGAGAUAACAUUUUGAUUGCCAUGACCUCUCUGGCCCUUUAUGUUCAUAUGGAUGGAAGUGUUCUGUGUUGCCAACACAGAGAAUGUAAAUUUCCAAAAUUCAAAUACCAACUGAACCUAAGUUGGUAUCCAGAAUAUUUGCUGUCACCUCCAAACAAUUUGAAUUCAUUUCAUCCCUGCUCCAUCUCUUAAACAUGUGGAUGUCCAUGAGCAGACAUACAAUGCUAUUUCUACUAUUUCUGGAAGCCACAAUGAUGCAAGGAUUCUUUCUUGCCCAUGUAUCUGAUGUUGAUGUCUAUCUGUCCUCCUACUGGAAAUCAUGUUGGUGGUAUAUCCAUCAUGAAGAAAGUUAAUUUCUCUCAUCUCAACUACAACAGUAAACUGUGUGGCUAUUCAUUCUAUAUUUUACCACCUGAAACACUGUGGAUAUAAUACAUCCCUAUUGCUUCUGUUAACUAUGUGGAUGUCCAUGAUUGGAGGCACAAUACCAUUCCUACUACUCCAGAAGCAAUAUUGAUGCUCAUUAUCUUCUUUCCACUGGGUACCAUAUUCAUUUCUAUGAUCUCUCCUGCUACAAGUCACCACCUUAAGGUAAGUGUUUGUUGUUGCCAAUGUAUAGGAUGAUAUUUUCCAAGAUUUAACCAGCUUUUGAUUCACAUUAUUCAUGCUGCCACCUGCCACCAUGCUGAUGUCAUUGAUCACUGCUGCAAUUGCAAACCCUGUUGAUAUUAAUGAAUGGAGCUCCCAUGCAUUCCUAUUAGUUCUGUAAGCCAUGUCGAUGCAUGUGGUCAUUUUUACCAUGGAUAACAGCUUGAUUGCUAUGAAUUCUCCAUCCCCUUAACACCUUAUUUAUGUAAGAGUUCUGUGUUGCCAAUAUGAAUAAUGUAAUUUUCAAGAUUCGAAAUACUAACAGAAACUGGGUUAAUAUCUUGAAUACAUGCUGCUACCUCCAAACAAUUUGAGUUCAUUAAUUCUAGCUGAGUCUAUUAUAAAUGUGCAUGUCCAUGAUUGGAACUACAAUGCUAUCUAUUCCUAUGCUUCUUGGAAGCAAUGUUGAUGCUCAUGAUCUUCUUACCACUGGACACCAUGGUGACUUCCCUGAUUUCUCCUGCUUCAAGUGACCAUGUUAAGGUAAGUGUACCUUUUUGGCAAUAUAUAGAAUGGUAAUUACUGAGAUUUAAUGAACCUUUGGUGACGUAGCUGAUACCUGUAAUUCAUGCUGCCACCUGCACCCAUGAUGAUGUCAUUGACUCUUGCUGCCUCUGUUAACCUUGUUGAUGUCUAUGAAAGGACCUGAUAGGAAUUCCUAAUGUUUCACUAAGCCAUGUUGAUGCAUUUGUUCCUUGUUACCAUGUCAUAAUAUCUUGAUUGCCAUGACUUCUCUGGACCCUUAUGACCAUAUUGAUGUAUAUGUUCUGUGUUGCCAACAUAAAGAAUGUAAAUUUCCAAGAACAAAAAUACCAACAGAAACUAAGUUGACAUCUGGAAUAAUUGUUGUCACCUCCAAUGAAAUUGAAUUCAUUCAUCCCUUUUGCAUCUGUUAAACAUGCGGAUGUCCAUGAGAAGACAUACCAUGCUAUUCCUACUAUUUCUGGAAGCUAUGUUGAUGCCAGGAUUCUUUCUUGCCCAUGGAUCUGAUGUUGAUGUCCAUCUGUCCUCCUACCUGAGACCAUGUUGAUGCAAGUGUUCUGUCUUUUCAACAAAAA